UACGUAGGUCCCGAGCGUUGUCCGGAUUUAUUGGGCGUAAAGCGUGCGCAGGUGGUUUAUUAAGUCUGGUGUAAAAGGCAGUGGCUCAACCAUUGUAUGCAUCGGAAACUGGUAGACUUGAGUGCAGGAGAGGAGAGUGGAAUUCCAUGUGUAGCGGUGAAAUGCGUAGAUAUAUGGAGGAACACCGGUGGCGAAAGCGGCUCUCUGGCCUGUAACUGAUACUGAGGCUCGAAAGCGUGGGGAGCAAACAGG
Molecule: ribosomal RNA, 252 nt
Filed under: uncultured bacterium
Lineage: Bacteria
Description: partial 16S ribosomal RNA
Rfam family: Bacterial small subunit ribosomal RNA
Source: RNAcentral